AAAAAACCACAGUGUUCUGAAUUAGCAUAAUAGCAGCUUUGGCACAUUUAUUGAUAGAUGCAGAAAUCAAACAAUUAAAAAGCUAAUAAGAAAAAAAAAAAACCAAACCCAUGCUCAUGUCUCUUUGGUAUACUUGUACCAACAUCACAAACGUGCUCAAAAAUGAAUGUAAAGAGGGUUAAAGUAGAAACAUAAACUCAGCUAUAUUCAAAUUAAUUUGAAAGCAUGAAAUAAUCGCUGUUGAAAAUUACGCUAUUAAAAAAAUUCAAUUAAGAUUUGUGACUCACUUCAGUUUUGAUUUUAUCCCUUCUGCUCUAGAAAAUUACGAACUGCGUAUCAAGUGCCCGGUGGGGUUUGGGAGGCAAUGACGAACAUACAUUUCAAAACAUUUUUUUUUUAUUAAGACAGUACUGACUAUGAAAAACGGGAUUAAAAUCCCUCACUGAAUUUCUUACAUAUUGCACCACUAUUGCAGCUGACCUGGUUUUCUUCCAUGUAGAAUGUUUUGAUGUUUGUGAUUUGUUUUACAAUGUUUUAAGAAGGAAAUGUUAUUGAUUACUUUUCAGGAACUCCAUUUUGUGGGUUUUUCCAUUUAAGAUACAUUUUGAGUAAAAUAUUUAUUUCGAAAACAGCAGCAGCAGCAUGUUUCUAACUUGCCCAUUUUUACUGUGUUUUCUAGUGUCGGCCAGAGUAGAAAAUCCAGAACUCUUGAACCUCUCUAUCUGACAUCUACACAAACUGUUCAGCAGUGGGAGACAGGCAGCCAUACCUAUUCCCAGCAGUUACAGCACCAAAAAAGCAGUUGCUUUUUUGGCACCUUCUCUCACGAUCAGCUGAGCUUAAGAAAAACUAAAGAAAAAAUCAUAAAAAAGUUGGUUGGAAGGAGCCUCAACCUGAUGCUUGGACCAGGACUGACAGCAGGAGUAACUCAAGGCAGCCUAUUGUAUGCAAAUAGCCAUUAACCAUGGAUCCUCAAAGCCAGACUUAUUUUCAUUGCGGAUUUUCAACCCUGCUACAGCACAGCAUUCCUAAAGCAGGAGCAGAGGUUGUAGCUGAAGAUAAAGUGUGGUGGCCUGCGUCAUCCCGUCCAGUUCCAGUGCCACUAAUAACUCACGUGAGUAACAGAAACACUUGGGCUCCUCUGACGAAAUGUGACGAAGGAACAGAAGUGACGUGGAGAACAACGUUCAUCUCUGUGAUGUCCCGUCUGUGGUCCAUCUGCCUCUGAAUGCCACACAGCAUCCUCAGCACCACUCAGGAAUUUCCUGAGCUGUUGCAAAGACUUUCCUCCCAAGUCUGGUUUGCUAGACUGCAAAAUUUAACUGAAGCUGGUGAGUUCCUUUUUAAUUUAUAUAAAAGGAUAAAGGGAGUCACUGCAAGUUUAUGAAUUGCAUCUUUCGCAAUCCAAGGCAGAGAUUUGACCUUGAAGCUUUAUACCCAGUUAGGUUUGAGACUGAGUUGGAAAUAUAUGGGCAAAAAGUGUGCAUGAAUUUGCUACAGUAGUUGAAGUCUGUAUUUACUACAAGCUCGUAGGCUAAUUAAGUUAUCAUAGUUCCUUUUGCUUACUGUAAUUUAUAGCUUUCCUGCUAACCCAGUGAAGAGCCAUCUUGUCAGCCUAUCUGGGUAUCCCAGAGAGCCUACAACUCUUUUUACUUUCUGACAGAGAACAGACCGGCAACAUCAUGAAAUUCCCAACAAAAUGAACCGGUCCAGCCAGUGCCAGCUGCCGACGGGCUGAGUUUGGGGCUGCGUUAACUUCCGAUAACAGAAGACGUGGUCUGACAGUGAGCCAGCCACAGAACCUACCCGACGUCGUGCCAGACCUCCCACCAGCUUCUCAGCUCUGCCUUCAACAUAUGCUGGCUUCCCACUGGCAAGGGUGAGUGAGGUAACUCCUCCAUUUGGAGGGAGAAAACUAUGAGCCACCGAACUUCUGCAGCUCCUUGGAUGUGUCCUCUGACAGAGUGUAUCUAUCAACCAGUGUCUCAUGGUUAAUCACACCUAGAAAACAUAAUGUGGCAUUUAAUAAGCCAGGGUAAAGAACCUUCC
This 2049-nucleotide long non-coding RNA is filed under the name Calidris pugnax (ruff). RNAcentral's name for it is "lncRNA (ENSCPUG00000012317.1)". The record is from RNAcentral. Lineage: Eukaryota; Metazoa; Chordata; Aves; Charadriiformes; Scolopacidae.